Molecule: transfer RNA, 73 nt
Filed under: Kwoniella dejecticola CBS 10117
Lineage: Eukaryota; Fungi; Basidiomycota; Tremellomycetes; Tremellales; Cryptococcaceae
Description: tRNA-Lys (CTT) (tRNA-Lys-CTT-1 1 to 3)
Rfam family: tRNA
About the family: Transfer RNA (tRNA) molecules are approximately 80 nucleotides in length. Their secondary structure includes four short double-helical elements and three loops (D, anti-codon, and T loops).
Source: RNAcentral
GCUUUCGUGGCCCAAUGGUUAAGGCUCCCGACUCUUAAUCGGGCGAUUGCGGGUUCGAUACCCGCCGAGAGCU